CCUACGGGAGGCAGCAGUGGGGAAUAUUGGACAAUGGGGGCAACCCUGAUCCAGCCAUGCCGCGUGUGUGAAGAAGGCCCUCGGGUUGUAAAGCACUUUCAGUGAGGAAGAACGCCUGGUGGUUAAUACCCAUCAGGAAAGACAUCACUCACAGAAGAAGCACCGGCUAACUCCGUGCCAGCAGCCGCGGUAAUACGGAGGGGGCGAGCGUUAAUCGGAAUUACUGGGCGUAAAGCGCGCGUAGGUGGCUGGAUAAGCCGGUUGUGAAAGCCCCGGGCUCAACCUGGGAACGGCAUCCGGAACUGUCAAGCUAGAGUGCAGGAGAGGAAGGUAGAAUUCCCGGUGUAGCGGUGAAAUGCGUAGAGAUCGGGAGGAAUACCAGUGGCGAAGGCGGCCUUCUGGACUGACACUGACACUGAGGUGCGAAAGCGUGGGUAGCAAACAGGAUUAGAUACCCCUGUAGUC
Molecule: ribosomal RNA, 465 nt
Filed under: Vreelandella stevensii
Lineage: Bacteria; Pseudomonadati; Pseudomonadota; Gammaproteobacteria; Oceanospirillales; Halomonadaceae
Description: partial 16S ribosomal RNA
Rfam family: Bacterial small subunit ribosomal RNA
Source: RNAcentral